AAAUUGAAGAGUUUGAUCAUGGCUCAGAUUGAACGCUGGCGGCAGGCCUAACACAUGCAAGUCGAACGGUAACAGGGAAACAGCUUGCUGUUUCGCUGACGAGUGGCGGACGGGUGAGUAAUGUCUGGGAAACUGCCUGAUGGAGGGGGAUAACUACUGGAAACGGUAGCUAAUACCGCAUAACGUCGCAAGACCAAAGAGGGGGACCUUCGGGCCUC
RNAcentral lists this ribosomal RNA (218 nucleotides) under Escherichia coli. Its description in RNAcentral is "partial 16S ribosomal RNA". It matches the Rfam family "Bacterial small subunit ribosomal RNA", at positions 1 to 216 of the family's 1533-position model. Lineage: Bacteria; Pseudomonadati; Pseudomonadota; Gammaproteobacteria; Enterobacterales; Enterobacteriaceae. The record is from RNAcentral.